UCAGGCCUAACACAUGCAAGUCGAGCGGAAACGAGUUAACUGAACCUUCGGGGAACGUCAACGGCGUCGAGCGGCGGACGGGUGAGUAAUGCCUGGGAAAUUGCCCUGAUGUGGGGGGUAACCAUUGGAAACGAUGGCUAAUACCGCAUAAUAGCUUCGGCUCAAAGAGGGGGACCUUCGGGCCUCUCGCGUCAGGAUAUGCCCAGGUGGGAUUAGCUAGUUGGUGAGGUAAGGGCUCACCAAGGCGACGAUCCCUAGCUGGUCUGAGAGGAUGAUCAGCCACACUGGAACUGAGACACGGUCCAGACUCCUACGGGAGGCAGCAGUGGGGAAUAUUGCACAAUGGGCGCAAGCCUGAUGCAGCCAUGCCGCGUGUAUGAAGAGGGCCUUCGGGUUGUAAAGUACUUUCAGCAGUGAGGAAGGCGGAGUCGUUAAUAGCGGCCUCGUUUGACGUUAGCUGCAGAAGAAGCACCGGCUAACUCCGUGCCAGCAGCCGCGGUAAUACGGAGGGUGCGAGCGUUAAUCGGAAUUACUGGGCGUAAAGCGCAUGCAGGUGGUUUGUUAAGUCAGAUGUGAAAGCCCGGGGCUCAACCUCGGAAUUGCAUUUGAAACUGGCAGACUAGAGUACUGUAGAGGGGGGUAGAAUUUCA
This 650-nucleotide ribosomal RNA is filed under the name uncultured bacterium. RNAcentral's name for it is "bacterial SSU rRNA". It matches the Rfam family "Bacterial small subunit ribosomal RNA", at positions 42 to 671 of the family's 1533-position model. The record is from RNAcentral.